CCGGGGAGGNUCAUUGGAAACUGGUUGACUUGAGUGCAGAAGAGGAGAGUGGAAUUCCAUGUGUAGCGGUGAAAUGCGUAGAUAUAUGGAGGAACACCAGUGGCGAAGGCGACUCUCUGGUCUGUAACUGACGCUGAGGCUCGAAAGCGUGGGUAGCAAACAGGAUUAGAUACCCUGGUAGUCCACGCCGUAAACGAUGAGUGCUAAGUGUUGGAGGGUUUCCGCCCUUCAGUGCUGCAGUUAACGCAUUAAGCACUCCGCCUGGGGAGUACGACCGCAAGGUUGAAACUCAAAGGAAUUGACGGGGACCCGCGCAAGCGGUGGAGCAUGUGGUUUAAUUCGAAGCAACGCGAAGAACCUUACCAAGUCUUGACAUCCUUUGACCACUCUAGAGAUAGAGCUUUCCCUUCGGGGACAAAGUGACAGGUGGUGCAUGGUUGUCGUCAGCUCGUGUCGUGAGAUGUUGGGUUAAGUCCCGCAACGAGCGCAACCCUUAUUACUAGUUGCCAGCAUUGAGUUGGGCACUCUAGUGAGACUGCCGGUGACAAACCGGAGGAAGGUGGGGAUGACGUCAAAUCAUCAUGCCCCUUAUGACUUGGGCUACACACGUGCUACAAUGGAUGGUACAACGAGCAGCGAACUCGCGAGGGUAAGCAAAUCUCUUAAAGCCAUUCUCAGUUCGGAUUGUAGGCUGCAACUCGCCUACAUGAAGCCGGAAUCGCUAGUAAUCGCGGAUCAGCACGCCGCGGUGAAUACGUUCCCGGGUCUUGUACACACCGCCCGUCACACCACGAGAGUUUGUAACACCCAAAGUC
This 815-nucleotide ribosomal RNA is filed under the name uncultured bacterium. Its description in RNAcentral is "bacterial SSU rRNA". It matches the Rfam family "Bacterial small subunit ribosomal RNA", at positions 613 to 1428 of the family's 1533-position model. The record is from RNAcentral.